RNAcentral lists this unclassified non-coding RNA (200 nucleotides) under Spizellomycetales sp. Its description in RNAcentral is "partial internal transcribed spacer 2". Lineage: Eukaryota; Fungi; Chytridiomycota; Chytridiomycetes; Spizellomycetales. The record is from RNAcentral.
UUAAGUUCAGCGGGUUUUCUUGCUCGAUUUCAGACCAAGUUGUCAGAGCUGAUCACAAAACUUGCAAUCAGAUCUGUGUUUAUUGGAAUUGCAUACGUUGCCAUACCAGCUGAUCAACAAAGUGUUCCAUUAUCUGUUGCACUGAGCAUUUCGACCGAUAAGUAUCGACGUACACACAAUCAUUUCAAAGCGAUUUUCUU